RNAcentral lists this ribosomal RNA (2260 nucleotides) under Escherichia coli. RNAcentral describes it as "partial 23S ribosomal RNA". It matches the Rfam family "Bacterial large subunit ribosomal RNA", at positions 418 to 2663 of the family's 2925-position model. Lineage: Bacteria; Pseudomonadati; Pseudomonadota; Gammaproteobacteria; Enterobacterales; Enterobacteriaceae. The record is from RNAcentral.
CGGGACACGUGGUAUCCUGUCUGAAUAUGGGGGGACCAUCCUCCAAGGCUAAAUACUCCUGACUGACCGAUAGUGAACCAGUACCGUGAGGGAAAGGCGAAAAGAACCCCGGCGAGGGGAGUGAAAAAGAACCUGAAACCGUGUACGUACAAGCAGUGGGAGCACGCUUAGGCGUGUGACUGCGUACCUUUUGUAUAAUGGGUCAGCGACUUAUAUUCUGUAGCAAGGUUAACCGAAUAGGGGAGCCGAAGGGAAACCGAGUCUUAACUGGGCGUUAAGUUGCAGGGUAUAGACCCGAAACCCGGUGAUCUAGCCAUGGGCAGGUUGAAGGUUGGGUAACACUAACUGGAGGACCGAACCGACUAAUGUUGAAAAAUUAGCGGAUGACUUGUGGCUGGGGGUGAAAGGCCAAUCAAACCGGGAGAUAGCUGGUUCUCCCCGAAAGCUAUUUAGGUAGCGCCUCGUGAAUUCAUCUCCGGGGGUAGAGCACUGUUUCGGCAAGGGGGUCAUCCCGACUUACCAACCCGAUGCAAACUGCGAAUACCGGAGAAUGUUAUCACGGGAGACACACGGCGGGUGCUAACGUCCGUCGUGAAGAGGGAAACAACCCAGACCGCCAGCUAAGGUCCCAAAGUCAUGGUUAAGUGGGAAACGAUGUGGGAAGGCCCAGACAGCCAGGAUGUUGGCUUAGAAGCAGCCAUCAUUUAAAGAAAGCGUAAUAGCUCACUGGUCGAGUCGGCCUGCGCGGAAGAUGUAACGGGGCUAAACCAUGCACCGAAGCUGCGGCAGCGACGCUUAUGCGUUGUUGGGUAGGGGAGCGUUCUGUAAGCCUGUGAAGGUGUACUGUGAGGUAUGCUGGAGGUAUCAGAAGUGCGAAUGCUGACAUAAGUAACGAUAAAGCGGGUGAAAAGCCCGCUCGCCGGAAGACCAAGGGUUCCUGUCCAACGUUAAUCGGGGCAGGGUGAGUCGACCCCUAAGGCGAGGCCGAAAGGCGUAGUCGAUGGGAAACAGGUUAAUAUUCCUGUACUUGGUGUUACUGCGAAGGGGGGACGGAGAAGGCUAUGUUGGCCGGGCGACGGUUGUCCCGGUUUAAGCGUGUAGGCUGGUUUUCCAGGCAAAUCCGGAAAAUCAAGGCUGAGGCGUGAUGACGAGGCACUACGGUGCUGAAGCAACAAAUGCCCUGCUUCCAGGAAAAGCCUCUAAGCAUCAGGUAACAUCAAAUCGUACCCCAAACCGACACAGGUGGUCAGGUAGAGAAUACCAAGGCGCUUGAGAGAACUCGGGUGAAGGAACUAGGCAAAAUGGUGCCGUAACUUCGGGAGAAGGCACGCUGAUAUGUAGGUGAAGUCCCUCGCGGAUGGAGCUGAAAUCAGUCGAAGAUACCAGCUGGCUGCAACUGUUUAUUAAAAACACAGCACUGUGCAAACACGAAAGUGGACGUAUACGGUGUGACGCCUGCCCGGUGCCGGAAGGUUAAUUGAUGGGGUUAGCGCAAGCGAAGCUCUUGAUCGAAGCCCCGGUAAACGGCGGCCGUAACUAUAACGGUCCUAAGGUAGCGAAAUUCCUUGUCGGGUAAGUUCCGACCUGCACGAAUGGCGUAAUGAUGGCCAGGCUGUCUCCACCCGAGACUCAGUGAAAUUGAACUCGCUGUGAAGAUGCAGUGUACCCGCGGCAAGACGGAAAGACCCCGUGAACCUUUACUAUAGCUUGACACUGAACAUUGAGCCUUGAUGUGUAGGAUAGGUGGGAGGCUUUGAAGUGUGGACGCCAGUCUGCAUGGAGCCGACCUUGAAAUACCACCCUUUAAUGUUUGAUGUUCUAACGUGGACCCGUAAUCCGGGUUGCGGACAGUGUCUGGUGGGUAGUUUGACUGGGGCGGUCUCCUCCUAAAGAGUAACGGAGGAGCACGAAGGUUGGCUAAUCCUGGUCGGACAUCAGGAGGUUAGUGCAAUGGCAUAAGCCAGCUUGACUGCGAGCGUGACGGCGCGAGCAGGUGCGAAAGCAGGUCAUAGUGAUCCGGUGGUUCUGAAUGGAAGGGCCAUCGCUCAACGGAUAAAAGGUACUCCGGGGAUAACAGGCUGAUACCGCCCAAGAGUUCAUAUCGACGGCGGUGUUUGGCACCUCGAUGUCGGCUCAUCACAUCCUGGGGCUGAAGUAGGUCCCAAGGGUAUGGCUGUUCGCCAUUUAAAGUGGUACGCGAGCUGGGUUUAGAACGUCGUGAGACAGUUCGGUCCCUAUCUGCCGUGGGCGCUGGAGAAUU